RNAcentral lists this ribosomal RNA (444 nucleotides) under uncultured bacterium. RNAcentral's name for it is "partial 16S ribosomal RNA". It matches the Rfam family "Bacterial small subunit ribosomal RNA", at positions 339 to 795 of the family's 1533-position model. The record is from RNAcentral.
CUACGGGCUGCUCCAGUGGGGAAUAUUGCACAAUGGGCGGAAGCCUGAUGCAGCAACGCCGCGUGAGGGACGACGGCCUUCGGGUUGUAAACCUCUUUUAGCAGGGAAGAAGCGAAAGUGACGGUACCUGCAGAAAAAGCACCGGCUAACUACGUGCCAGCAGCCGCGGAAAUACGUAGGGUGCAAGCGUUGUCCGGAAUUAUUGGGCGUAAAGAGCUCGUAGGCGGUUUGUCGCGUCUGCUGUGAAAAUCCGAGGCUCAACCUCGGACCUGCAGUGGGUACGGGCAAACUAGAGUGCGGUAGGGGAGAUUGGAAUUCCUGGUGUAGCGGUGGAAUGCGCAGAUAUCAGGAGGAACACCAAUGGCGAAGGCAGAUCUCUGGGCCGUAACUGACGCUGAGGAGCGAAAGCGUGGGGAGCGAACAGGAUUAGAUACCCGCGUAGUC